CCCAUCCCCCCCGGCCACCCCACGACCCACCGAAGCGGUUUCUCCUCCCCAGCUCGCGGUUAGUUUUCCCAACGCUGCUCCACCGGCCUGCUCGCGAUCUGUCCGCCCUUCCUCCCGGCGAUGACCCCGGGACUGGCACCGCCGGUGAAUCUCUGCGUGCCCCCACGGUCAAGGCGAUGCCCUCCUGUUCCCGUCGCUGCUCACUCCUCCCAUCGCCGGUUUUCCCGAUGCCACUCCGCCGCCCAGCUCACGGUACGUCUGCUGUUCCUCCCAUCGCCGAUCCGAGGACUGGCGCCGCCGGCCAGCUCCUGCAUGUCCCCGCAGCCAAGGCGAUGCCCUCUCUUUCUGACGUGGCUCACUCCUCCCGUUGUUGUUCCGUGAGACCGCUCAAUUCUCUGCAUCGGCGGCGACGGCAACAGAAGCGUUGGACGGACAGUAGGGAUCCAAUCUUCUCCGCGACAGCUUGAUAUUCCUCCCGUGUAGAUGCUCCAGCGAGUCAUGUGCCCCAUCGAGCUCCUCGCCCUGCGCAAGUUGCUCCUUGAUCUACCUCACCCUGAAUCCCCAAGAUAAAAGAUUCUUGGAGAGGAGGAUCUUAACUAGUUCUAGUUUAUUUGGACCAUGGCGGAUGUGAUUUCUGGAUGGAUAUUGGUUGAGAUUUUUUUUUCAAUCGGCUGCUGUUUUACUCCCCGCUUGGUGCGAUGGUGCCACCGCUGCCUCCUGGGAUGACUGGAUCUACCCUGGUGCCAACGACUAUUCGACAAUAUGCUGAAUGCCAAGACCUCCUUGCGAAACUGUCAGGUGAUGCUUGCCAGUGCUGGUUCAGUCUCGUUCCCCAUUGUCAUCAGUUUGUACUUCAGCUCCUGCAUAUUUUGUUCUGGUUCCUGCAGGAGAUGGGUCCAGGAAACUGCAGUCUUCUCUGCAUUUAUGUUUUUUGUUAAUAGUUCAAGUUAUGCAGUAAAGGUUUGAUCAGGGUGCCAAUUACAUGAUUUUCUUACAGAAAUACCUUUUAUUUCCUGAAAUCCUAUCAGUAUGUCUUCUUAGAUUGCACUGCACCUAUUAAACUUUGGGCAUAAUAUGCAGUAUCGAUCAAUCUAAACUUAUCUAUAUAUAGGUGUUGAUCGUUCAGAUUUGAGGUUUCUGAUUGUUACACUUUAUGGCAUGCUUAGUAGAACUUCUUGUGUGACAAAGAGGUGCUCAUAUGCUCAUAAAUCUUAUAUCUAAUGAACAUUGUUGUCCAUAUGCAUGCUUAUGUAUUCUCAACGGGUAUUAUAUUUGGACAACCUACAUCAAACACUCUCCCAGAUGAUUGGAUUUCCACACUCCAAGUGAGAUUCUAUCAUAAGUCCCUGAUUGAGUGGCUAACAAAUGCGGACCGAAUUAGGUGCAGGGAUUGAACCGAUGCAUACAGUUUCCUACCAUUUAAGCUGGGCAAGCACUUAUCACGCUGCAGCUGGCAGUGCACCGGAUGAAUUUUGCACAUGGACAUGAAGUGCAUCAGAGAAGUAUUAUCUACGGAUGUGGUGAGCGAGGGUAAGGAUGUGGCAUCUGCAAAGCAAGUUGGACACCAGGACUGCUUGCUGUAAAUUGCACAUGCUGGAGUUGCUUGCUUGCUGGAGAUGGCGCGUGCACAGACUUUUUUUUAGGGAGAAUAGAGCUUCGUGCACAGAUAUUCGUUUGCCAAUCUCAAACAAUCCUUUUCUGUACAUAAAUCAAUCAGCCGUAUGAGGGGCACCAGAACAUGGAGUACAAAUGACGGAAUUAGUUUGCUUUGGAUCGUAAAUACUGAAUUUCACAACAUCGAUGAAUGACUGGAGCAUGUGCAUGCAA
Long non-coding RNA from Panicum virgatum (switchgrass), 1827 nucleotides. RefSeq lists it as uncharacterized. The transcript is spliced from 5 exons. The record is from RefSeq and is a predicted model, not a curated record. Lineage: Eukaryota; Viridiplantae; Streptophyta; Magnoliopsida; Poales; Poaceae.